Felis catus (domestic cat) is the source of this 3623-nucleotide long non-coding RNA. RefSeq lists it as uncharacterized. NCBI's taxonomy places the organism in Eukaryota, Metazoa, Chordata, Mammalia, Carnivora, Felidae. The record is from RefSeq and is a predicted model, not a curated record. The transcript is spliced from 2 exons.
AGAAAGACUAUGUGCAAGGGGCAGAUCAGCUCCAUCUCAAAGUCUACAGGGCUAAAAGCUAAGUCACUAUUGACUAUGUCACUAAGUGACUAAGUGACUAGUGACGAAGUCACUAUUAGUGACUAUGUGACACAUGUGAUCAGAGACCAAGUCAUCACUUCCAGCACUGUGUUUGUAACUGUUUGCAAUGAAGGCACUGUCACAAACUUUACUAUAGUUACCACCUUUACAAAGAAAAGAACAACAAAGCACAAGGGAACCCCAGCCAGUAUACGUCAGAGAAGCAGGAUGCAUCAUAUAAACAGCACGAGGCUAGACUGUAAGGAGACUACAGCACUCUCACCCUUCUACAAGGUUUGCAAGUCUAUGCAGCACUGAUAUGUAGAGACAACUAGAAAAUCAACCAACUAUAAAUGCAUCCUUCUGCUUAAACCUAACUACAUAUCAACUUACCAAAUCCCUGUGCAACACCCAGUUAGCAUGCAGGUAGUGAAUCCCAUCUAGGAUCUGAUACAAUAGUGACUUCACCAUUCCCCGAGGUAACUGAACUGGCUUCUUGUUUGCUUUAGAAGCUCUGUGAAACUUGAUUAUAUGCUGAAAGAAAGAAAAAUAUCACCAGAAGCUUAAAAAAGAAAAGAGGGAAAGAUCACUUGAUGUAUAAUAUUUUCCUAACAGAAAAAGAAACACUCAGGGAUUCCCAAAGAUAUCGAAAAUAUAAUUUCAUAUUCUGCUGGAUAACAUAAACUUAAAAUUUCCUACUAACUGGAGCUAAAAUUUCAUUUCCUGAGCAAAUGAUCGUGUCUCAGAAAACAAAUGAUUACAACAGAGAAGUUGAGAGCAAUGUGAUUUUAUUUUAAAAGUAUAAUUAAAAAAUACUUUCAGAAUAUACUUGACCCCUGUUUACCUGGUAGAAAUUUUCAAGAACAGAAUCUGUUUUAUCUGUACUAAUUAAAUGAAAAGAAAAUAAACAGAACAAAUUUCAAGAGAUACUUAUGGGUUGGCUGACAUAGCAUAAACGUGUUAACCUGUUUAUAAUACAUGGGUUAUAAAGGAAGGGAAAUUAUUUCAAUAAAAUACACAGAAGCAUAAAGAAAUCACAUGUAAAUGACCAGUUCACACUGUAAAUAUUUAGAAAUAGCUAAGAUUCAGAUGAGAAAAAAAUAGCCUUGUACUAUUCAUUAAAAACUUUCUAGGAACAGUAUUAGUGGACAUCCGGUAAAACACAACACCAUUUUAUAAACAGGAAAAUUGCUUUAUAAACAAAUGUACCUCAGUAGAAACAAGAUCCCAUGUUUCAAAAGCUCUUGACAGGUUUCUUCGUUUUAACUAAAGCACUCUUAAACUGCAAGAACACCUACAAAUCAGCUGAAAUCAACUUUGCUGUGGUGUAACACUAGGCAUAUGCCUGGUACCUCAUGUGCAGAAGAACAGACUCUUGAGCAGUAUUUAUGGGUGAAUAUCAACCAUAUUCUUGACAUUAGUAAACACAACUAAAACAGGACAUAUUUUAUAUUACAGGUCAACAUUUUCACCUCCUAUUUUCUUAUGACAUAGAAAGUAGAACAAGGAUAAGGAAUAACUAGUAACUCAUGAGUGAAGAAGUUUUACUUUCCAAAGAAAAAAAUAUAUAGCAAAGACUACCUGGUGGGAAAGUAAAAGUGUCAGCCUGCAUGUAGUAUGAUUAAUCUAUACUUUAUUAGCAGCAUAACACUAUUUUAAUUUUCUUCUGUUAUCUGCCCAAAGUAUUUUAAAACAGUCAAGCAAAAUAGAGCUAAAACUCAAUAAUCUAGAAUGUUCUGUCACAUAGCCUAAGAAAUGGUGUGACAAUAAAGUCUGUUCACCUUAAGAGCUAGUGGUUUUCAGAGCUUAAUAAAAAUAGAUUAAAAUACAUCAUUAUUUAUAAAAAUUAAAACUUGACAGAGUGAGAAGAAAAGAAGAUGUAGGGGAGGUACAAUAAAUGAUGCCACAUGCACUCCUCCAGUUAACAUUUUUAAGUAAUCUCUAUCCCCAACGUGAGGCUCGAGCUUACAACUCCAAGAUCAAGAGGUGCACACUACUGGCUAAGCCAGUUAAGCACCCCUUCAGUUAACAUUUUCAUUAGGGUUUAACAAAUUACUUUUUUACCGAUAUGUCAUAACUACAAAAAACUACACUGGGGAAAUCGCUUACCUUUGUUUUUAUUCCAGGGCUAUAUAAAAAAUAUGCGGUGUGCUUAGCAUGAAAUUUCACCAACACCUAAGUGAUUUUUUUAAAUGACUCUUUUUACUGCAACUGUUUUUGUUAUCCUCUGCUGCCUUACCCCAGCUAAUUCAACACUCCAAUUAAAAUAAGAAAAUGAAAUGGAUAAAGGAGGUUUUAGUAAAUGGAAUUAUUUUAUUUUUAUUAAAAUGAACAUUAAAAGUACUUAUUUGACUUAAAUGAGUAUUAAUAAGAGGACAAUAAGGCCAAUGAUGCCCAUGUAUACACAUCUGGGAACACUGUAUGCAGCAUAAUCUGCGAAAGUAUAAUUAUUAUAUCGACACGUAAAAUUAAAUAUCACAUACUAGCUAGAAAUUAUACUGAAUACAAUACGAUCUCCUAUGUUCAACUAUUACAAAUCAUGAUUUAUUACAAAUUAUGUUUAUAAACCAGCCUACACAAUUUCUCAUAAAUUUGGAUCAUAUAAUUUGAUUUCAUGUUAGGCUUGAGAAUGAGCGUCCAAUUCAAUAUCGGCCACACUAAUUUAAUAAAUUUUUAUUAACAGAAUCCCAAUUUGAUUUGAUCAGAUUUAUUUUAAAAGAACAGAAGUCAACAACAACAAAAAUAUUUACAACCAGCACUGACUGUGGACAAUAGUUUCAUAGAAGAGAAAAUGUGAUGUCUACUUUCAGUUCAAAACAAUUCUUUACAGAUAACUUACACAAAUAAUUUGAAUCAAAUGGCAUUUACUCAUGGAAAACAGAAAUCCACACAGUGAAAAAUACUUCUUAUAAAUGUGAAAGUAUAUGAAACCCAUAGAAGUUUCCAUUUCUGAAAUCUGUUAGGGUUAAAAUUAUGUAAAUGAGGUUAAUUCUGGAAAUUAGCAAGAGUUGAAAACUAUUUUACUAUUUUCAGGAGGUGAACUUCCUUCCAAACUAUUUACUGUUUACUUGUGUUAGUUUUACUUCCAAAUUUUGUUUUUACAUUUACAAAGUGCAGCUGAAUGAAAACUGUAAAUUAUUUUGAAGAUACCUGAAACUGAGCCAGAAUAUUAUAAUCCCUUGCAUACCAGUACAGAUGGUCCUGACUUACAGUGGUUCAACUUAUGAUUUUUUGACGUGGUGAUGGAGCAAAAGCGAUGAGCAUUCAGCAGAAACCACACUGCGAAUUCUGAAAUGUGAUCUUUUCCCAGGCUAGCAGCACGCAGGCCAGUGCUCGCUCAGGAUGCCAGGCGGCGGCAGCUGCUGUACCUCAGCGAGGGGCAACGGCCAACGCGCUACAACCAUUCCACACUCACACAACCAUUCUUGUUUUCAAGUUCAGGACGGUGUUCAAUAGAUGAUGUGAGGUACCGAGCACUUCAUUACAAAACAGGCUCUGUGUUAGGAGAUUUUGCCCAACUGGAGGGGGAUGUUGUUAAGUGUUCUCAGCACAGUUAAGGUAGA